GGCCAGGCAUCAACAUAGCAUCGUAACCAUCCUCAUCGAAUAAGUACUUCUAUUUUCUCCUUGAGUUGCCAACACUCCUUAGUGUCAUGACUGUGGUCCCGAUGAUACCUAUAAUACUUCUUUGCAUCUCUCACACGUGCCGGCAUAGUCAUCUUCUUUGACCUCGGGAGCUCUUCUUGAUGUUCUAUCUCCAUCAAUAUUUGUGCCCGUGGGGUGUUAAGUGGAAUAAAAUUGUAAAACCUCCAUGAGGGAG
Molecule: long non-coding RNA, 253 nt
Filed under: Elaeis guineensis (African oil palm)
Lineage: Eukaryota; Viridiplantae; Streptophyta; Magnoliopsida; Arecales; Arecaceae
Description: long non-coding RNA (EGUI_LNC044378)
Source: RNAcentral